AUGCUGUUGUGGGUCAGGGGUUGGAGCUGGUUGUGGGGAGAGAGCAGGAUUUGGCUCUUUGCAGAGAAGGAGAUGUGGGAAAUGAGAACACGCUCAGAGGAUGCCAUGGAGAGCAAAGCACAAGUGUUGGAGCAGGGAGCCAUCUGCAGCCCCUGGUGCCCUCUCUCCCAUGGAGCUGUGUGUGCUGCCCUCCUCUUACUUGGGGCUGUGUCUGUGCUGUCCAUGCUGGCCCAGUCCCUGCAGUGCCAUCUUGAUGUGACAUCCACGUCCCCCAGCUCUGCUCCCGAGCACAGCAGGAAGGAGAGGCAAGAGUUGCAGGUUGCCACAGUAACCCCUGCUCCACCACCUUUUGCUUUUACACCAGGAGAAAUCCAUCGCUCUGCAGACACCCAGCUCCACACUUGUGAUUUACACCGAUCGUGUUUGCCGUGGGGCUAUCGAACGCCAAGGGCUGGUGCAGAAGAGCCCUGCAGGACCAGCUUCAUGCUUCUAAAUCCCCACCACUUCCAGAUCUCCUUGGUGCAGCCAAACUGCCUCGGGCUGACUGUCUGAAACAGGGCUGAGUGUAGUUCUCCCUGAAGUCAACGAGAGCCUUCUCACUGAAACAACAGCUUUGUUUUGGAGGAGCUUUUUUGGAGGAGCAGGCUGAGAGCCAGGUGGGGAUUUCGUUUUUCACACCUAAUAUAUUCAUGAGUGUGUGUGUGUGUGUGUGUGUGUAUAUAUAUAUAUAUAUAUACAUAUUUUCCUGUAAUACAAAUUAGAUCACUAUAUGGAAAGCAUAUGAAUUAAAGCCAAUAUAUUUUCUGUUUAGGCAAAUUAAAGACUAUUUCCCUUUGAGAUGCUCUUCGGGUUGCUUUAUAUCCCACUCACAGAAGUGUUUUUCCCCACAGUAUCCCUUCAGGUAAACGCUUCUCCUUCCGUCAGUGCACCUGUGGAUUAGCUGUGAGUAAUUUGCUCUUGAAAUAUUUCGCAAAAAUAUUCUUUGCAUAUGGUAAACAGGUUUGAAUACCCAGGCUGAUAAUGAUAGAGGCUGAUAAUGACAGAGCUUGUUGCCUUGCAGACGCUCUUUGUGCAGGUAGGUCAUACCUGAACAGCUGGAUUGCGUGCACAGGUCAUGGGCUAUUUUCUAUACUCAUUUGGCAACAGCACAGAGCUUUUGCAAGUGAUCAGUGAUUUAAUUUUAAAGGAACGUCUUCUGCUGGCUUUUGUAUUAAGACCAAUGUAACAUCUUUAUUGUCAGAUGAGGCCUUUCUAUCCACGCAAAAAACAUAGCCCUGCUAUUGCUGAAGAGCUACCAAUGAUGGUGAAAAUGGAGUGAAAUUGGAGAGAAUCAUAAAUGUGUCCUUCAGGGAUGAGUACUGUCCCAUGCACCACCUCCUUUGCUCGCAGGCUCUGCUGCGGAUGCCCAUUUUGCCCACUGCAACUCUGUACCAGAGGCGCAGGUGAGGAAAUGCCCCAUGUGGCUCUGACAGCGUGACCGACAGCUCUCAUUAGAAAAUGUGAAAUGAAAGCAGCUCAGGGUCCAGCCUGCCUCGCCGAGGCCCAUUACACA
This is a long non-coding RNA of Numida meleagris (helmeted guineafowl), 1552 nucleotides long. NCBI's taxonomy places the organism in Eukaryota, Metazoa, Chordata, Aves, Galliformes, Numididae. The record is from Ensembl.